UGGGGAAUAUUGCACAAUGGGCGCAAGCCUGAUGCAGCCAUGCCGCGUGUGUGAAGAAGGCCUUCGGGUUGUAAAGCACUUUCAGCGAGGAGGAAGGUGGUGAACUUAAUACGUUCAUCAAUUGACGUUACUCGCAGAAGAAGCACCGGCUAACUCCGUGCCAGCAGCCGCGGUAAUACGGAGGGUGCAAGCGUUAAUCGGAAUUACUGGGCGUAAAGCGCACGCAGGCGGUUUGUUAAGUCAGAUGUGAAAUCCCCGGGCUCAACCUGGGAACUGCAUUUGAAACUGGCAAGCUAGAGUCUCGUAGAGGGGGGUAGAAUUCCAGGUGUAGCGGUGAAAUGCGUAGAGAUCUGGAGGAAUACCGGUGGCGAAGGCGGCCCCCCUGGACGAAGACUGACGCUCAGGUGCGAAAGCGUGGGGCAGCAAACAGGAUUAGAUACCCUGGUAGUCCACGCUGUAAAACGAUGUCGAUUUGGAGGUUGUGCCCCUUGAGGCGUGGNUUCCGGAGCUAACGNGUUAAAUCGACCGCCUGGGGAGUACGGCCGCAAGGUUAAAACUUAAAUGAAUU
This 568-nucleotide ribosomal RNA is filed under the name uncultured bacterium. Its description in RNAcentral is "partial 16S ribosomal RNA". It matches the Rfam family "Bacterial small subunit ribosomal RNA", at positions 355 to 911 of the family's 1533-position model. The record is from RNAcentral.